This is a long non-coding RNA of Ornithodoros turicata, 515 nucleotides long. RefSeq lists it as uncharacterized. The record is from RefSeq and is a predicted model, not a curated record. NCBI's taxonomy places the organism in Eukaryota, Metazoa, Arthropoda, Arachnida, Ixodida, Argasidae. The transcript has 2 exons.
UCGAAAAUAACACACCACCAGCCGACUCUGUGUUGCGUUAGAUUAGACGCGGUCUACGCGGCAGACGCCAAUUAAAUAUGUGCUCAGAGGAAGUACUGCUAUGGUGGCCUGUAUACUGCGACUCUGGAAGAGAGGAAAUCGGGGAAGAAUAGUGCGCAGACGCCAAACACGGUGAAGAGACAUGGAAGAGCUUCAGCAACGGUCACGAGAAGGAAAACAGCGUGACGGCAGGGGUGCGUGCACCAGGAGACCACUUCUUCCUCCUGUUCUUGUUUGCCCUUCGACCCUUUGCCGGAAUGCCGUCGUUGUAUAUUGCGGUGGAAAUCAAUGACAACGCAUAGGCCGUUUUCUCCUACAACAAAGGCGCCGUAUAUGUUCUCGAUAAAUUUAGCUUACGCCUGCUGACGUGCUCGUGUCUUUCACGGUGAGAUACCCACUUCCCGGUUCAUGGGGAUGAUGCGCGUCUGUGUGUAUUACUCUCUAUGGGAAGUUGUAAUUAAAUGCGCUACAUGGUG